This 199-nucleotide ribosomal RNA is filed under the name uncultured bacterium. RNAcentral's name for it is "partial 16S ribosomal RNA". It matches the Rfam family "Bacterial small subunit ribosomal RNA", at positions 328 to 539 of the family's 1533-position model. The record is from RNAcentral.
ACGCUCGACACCUACGGGGAGGCAGCAGUGGGGAAUAUUGCACAAUGGGGGAAACCCUGAUGCAGCGACGCCGCGUGAAGGAAGAAGUAUUUCGGUAUGUAAACUUCUAUCAGCAGGGAAGAAGAUGACGGUACCUGAGUAAGAAGCACCGGCUAAAUACGUGCCCGCAGCCGCGGUAAUCUGAGCGGGCUGGCAAGGC